RNAcentral lists this transfer RNA (62 nucleotides) under Latridiidae sp. 1 KM-2017. RNAcentral's name for it is "tRNA-Thr". It matches the Rfam family "tRNA". Rfam says of the family: Transfer RNA (tRNA) molecules are approximately 80 nucleotides in length. Their secondary structure includes four short double-helical elements and three loops (D, anti-codon, and T loops). The record is from RNAcentral. Lineage: Eukaryota; Metazoa; Arthropoda; Insecta; Coleoptera; Latridiidae.
GUUUUAAUAGUUUAAACAAAAUAUUGGUCUUGUAAACCAAAGAUAAAGAUAUUUUUAAAACU